RNAcentral lists this long non-coding RNA (231 nucleotides) under Elaeis guineensis (African oil palm). RNAcentral's name for it is "long non-coding RNA (EGUI_LNC028254)". Lineage: Eukaryota; Viridiplantae; Streptophyta; Magnoliopsida; Arecales; Arecaceae. The record is from RNAcentral.
CAUCUACAUCAUCACUCGUACUAGAAGAGGUUGGUCAUAUUAGCUAGUGUGAGGAGCACAUUUUGGGUUAUGUCGUAUGUUUGAGUUUGUUCAAAUUAGAAAAUGAUAAUGUAUUAUACUUUUAAACCAUAUAUCAAAAGUUAAGGAAUGAUGAAUAAAAGCUUGAAGUCAUUUUUGGAGUUAUGUUGAGUUGAUUUGAGAAUUAUGUUUGAGUUGAACUAUAGCAACUUG